AUGUGGUCAAGCUACAAAGAGCUUAUGGUGGAUCCCUCGGCACACAGAGGCGAUGAAGGACGUGGCGACCGACGAAACGCUCCGGGGAGCUGGAAGCAAGCAAUGAGCCGGAGAUAUCCGAAUGGGGCAACCCCAAAGAACUAACUGCUGAAUCAAUAGGCAGUAAAGAGCCAACCCAGUGAACUGAAACAUCUUAGUAGCUGGAGGAAAAGAAAUCAAAAGAGAUUCCCUGAGUAGUGGUGAGCGAAACGGGAAGAGCCUAAACCAUCAAGCAUGCUUGAUGGGGUAGUGGGACAGCAAGGUGGGACUCGAGAAGUUAGACAAAGCAACUGAAAACUGCACCAGAGAAGGUAAAAGUCCUGUAGUCGAAAACUUCAAAAGCCCUAGCUGAAUCCCGAGUAGCACGGGGCACGUGAAAUCCCGUGUGAAUCAGCCGAGACCACUCGGUAAGGCUAAAUACUACUGUGUGACCAAUAGUGAACCAGUACCGCGAGGGAAAGGUGAAAAGAACCCCGGGAGGGGAGUGAAAUAGAACGUGAAACCGUAAGCUUACAAGCAAUGGAAGCUCGAUUGAACGAGUGACCGUGUGCCUGUUGAAGAAUGAGCCGGCGACUUAUAAGCAGUGGCAGGUCAAAGCAUUCAAUGCUCAAGCCAAAGCGAAAGCGAGUCUGAAAAGGGCGAAUUAAGUCACUGUUUAUAGACCCGAACCCGGGUGAUCUAACCAUGUCCAGGAUGAAGCUUGGGUAACACCAAGUGGAGGUCCGAACCGACUGAUGUUGAAAAAUCAGCGGAUGAGGUGUGGUUAGGGGUGAAAUGCCAAUCGAACCCGGAGCUAGCUGGUUCUCCCCGAAAUGUGUUGAGGCGCAGCGGUUGUGAUUAUAGUCUGGGGGUAAAGCACUGUUUCGGUGCGGGCUGCGAGAGCGGUACCAAAUCGAGACAAACUCUGAAUACCAGAUGCACACACAGCCAGUGAGACGGUGGGGGAUAAGCUUCAUCGUCAAGAGGGAAACAGCCCAGACCACCAGCUAAGGCCCCCAAAUGGUCACUAAGUGAUUAAGGAGGUGGGAGUGCAAAGACAACCAGGAGGUUUGCCUAGAAGCAGCCAUCCUUGAAAGAGUGCGUAAUAGCUCACUGGUCAAGCGCUCCUGCGCCGAAAAUGAACGGGGCUAAGUGACAUGCCGAAGCUGUGGGAUAUAUAAAGUAUCGGUAGGGGAGCGUUCCGCAGUAGUGAGAAGCACUAGCGACAAGCAGGUGUGGACGAAACGGAAGUGAGAAUGUCGGCUUGAGUAGCGCAAACAUUGGUGAGAAUCCAAUGCCCCGAAACCCCAAGGGUUCCUCCGGAAGGCUCGUCCGCGGAGGGUUAGUCAGGGCCUAAGGCGAGGCAGAAAUGCGUAGUCGAUGGACAACGGGUCAACAAUCCCGUACCAGUAAUUGUUGGUGCAGAGGGACGGAGAAGGCAAGAGCCAGCCGGAUGUUGGUUACCGGUUCAAGCGUUCGAGGUGAUGAGGGACGGAGAAAACGGCCCGAGCUAAGGCGCGAGUACGACCCCCUACGGGGGGGAAGUGGUAUCAGUCAAGCUUCCAAGAAAAGCUCUAAACACCAUAAACAAUUACCGCCUGUACCCGAAACCGACACAGGUGGGGAGGUUGAGAAUACCAAGGGGCGCGAGAUAACUCUCUCUAAGGAACUCGGCAAAAUGACCCCGUAACUUCGGGAGAAGGGGUGCCUUCAGAAAUGAAGGUCGCAGUGAAGAGAUCCAGGCGACUGUUUACCAAAAACACAGGUCUCCGCUAAGUCGUAAGACGAUGUAUGGGGGCUGACGCCUGCCCAGUGCCGGAAGGUUAAAGAAGUCGGUUAGGCGCAAGCCGAAGCUGGCGACUGAAGCCCCGGUGAACGGCGGCCGUAACUAUAACGGUCCUAAGGUAGCGAAAUUCCUUGUCGGGUAAGUUCCGACCCGCACGAAAGGCGUAACGAUCUGGAUGCUGUCUCGGAGAGAGGCUCGGCGAAAUAGGAAUGUCUGUGAAGAUACGGACUGCCUGCACCAGGACAGAAAGACCCUAUGAAGCUUUACUGUAGCCUGGAAUGGUGUUCGGGCUUCGCUUGCGCAGGAUAGGUGGGAGGCACUGAAGUACCCCUUGUGGGGGGUAUGGAGCCAACGGUGAGAUACCACUCUGGCGAGGCUAGAAUUCUAACCUUGACCCCUGAAUCGGGGCGAGGAACAGUUUCAGGUGGGCAGUUUGACUGGGGCGGUCGCCUCCUAAAAGGUAACGGAGGCGCGCAAAGGUUCCCUCAGCCUGGUUGGAAACCAGGCGGCGAGUGUAAAGGCAAAAGGGAGCUUGACUGCAAGAGCUACAACUCAAGCAGGGACGAAAGUCGGCCUUAGUGAUCCGACGGCACCGCGUGGAAGGGCCGUCGCUCAACGGAUAAAAGUUACUCUAGGGAUAACAGGCUGAUCUCCCCCAAGAGUUCACAUCGACGGGGAGGUUUGGCACCUCGAUGUCGGCUCAUCGCAACCUGGGGCGGAAGUACGUCCCAAGGGUUGGGCUGUUCGCCCAUUAAAGCGGUACGUGAGCUGGGUUCAGAACGUCGUGAGACAGUUCGGUCCAUAUCCGGUGCAGGCGUAAGAGCAUUGAGAGGAUCCCUCCUUAGUACGAGAGGACCGGGAGGGACGCACCGCUGGUGUACCAGUUAUCGUGCCAACGGUAAACGCUGGGUAGCCAAGUGCGGAGCGGAUAACCGCUGAAAGCAUCUAAGUGGGAAGCCCACCUCAAGAUGAGUGCUCUCAUGGAAAUAAUCCAGUAAGGUCACAGGAAGAACACCUGUUAAUAGGCGCCAGGUGGAAGUGCAGCAAUGUAUGCAGCCGAAGCGUCCUAAUAGACCGAGGGCUUGACCUCAA
This 2896-nucleotide ribosomal RNA is filed under the name Coleofasciculus sp. FACHB-1120. RNAcentral describes it as "23S ribosomal RNA". It matches the Rfam family "Bacterial large subunit ribosomal RNA". The record is from RNAcentral. Lineage: Bacteria; Bacillati; Cyanobacteriota; Cyanophyceae; Coleofasciculales; Coleofasciculaceae.